AGGGAAUCACUAUAUGUUCUAUUUCAGAAGUGAAGAAGAGUAAUGUUAAGUAAAGUCUUUGUUAGAAUUCACUUCUUGAUUCUCUUGUAGAUUUUUUUUGUUUUUGUUUUUUUUUUAACCAUGCAUCUUGUAGAUUGUUAUUCAUUAUUUUUCACUCAAAUGCAGUAUAGACAUAAUCAAUAAUAUAGUAAAACCACCGGUAAAAUUAGAGAGAAUACCUUUGUGUACCUAUUUAACAUUAGAUUCU
This 247-nucleotide long non-coding RNA is filed under the name Salvia miltiorrhiza (redroot sage). RNAcentral's name for it is "long non-coding RNA (SMIL_LNC000196)". The record is from RNAcentral. Lineage: Eukaryota; Viridiplantae; Streptophyta; Magnoliopsida; Lamiales; Lamiaceae.